GGCAUAAUAUUAUCAGGUUUCCAUUAUAUAAUUAAAUUCAAAUAUUAACUACCACUACAAAUUAUUAACAAAUAAUAAUUAUCAACUACUAUUACAUUAUGGUGUAGGGUAUUAUGUAAAACCAUAUUUUUUGUUAUGAUUAGUAGAGCACGGAUAAUUGUAGUAAAAAACUAUUGAAAUUGAUUGCAGUAUUGCACUAAAAAUAUUAAAUUUAUACUAAAAACGAACAAUUUUUUUUUACAAAAAUGGAAAUAGUUGGCUUAAUUUUCAGCAUAUUUACAAAACAAUAACAGAAUAAGAUCACUAAAAAAUGCUAAAAUAAUUGUGUAAAUGAGCAAAUUCAAUAAAAUUGCAAAACUUUGCACUUAAAACUCCUAGAUUUGAAUUCGUACUUACAUGAA
Molecule: non-coding RNA, 401 nt
Organism: Cinara cedri
Lineage: Eukaryota; Metazoa; Arthropoda; Insecta; Hemiptera; Aphididae
Source: the annotation of a GenBank genome assembly